RNAcentral lists this long non-coding RNA (253 nucleotides) under Fukomys damarensis (Damara mole-rat). RNAcentral's name for it is "lncRNA (ENSFDAG00000030893.1)". The record is from RNAcentral. Lineage: Eukaryota; Metazoa; Chordata; Mammalia; Rodentia; Bathyergidae.
CAAAGAGUUCUGGAGAGGUUGGAACGCGUCCCCGCUCCAGUGCGCAGAGCUGCAGCUAGGAUCUGCGUGGGGAUUCGGGGACAACUCCUCUAGGUGCUCGCUCGCUCGGGGACCCUCGCUCCCAGCAUGCCUCAGGCAUGAAAGCUACUACCUCAAGACAUAAGAGUUUGACAUUGCCGAUGUCUCUUCUUGGUACCCAAGGCCACAGAUUUUCCAAGUGGGACACAGAGACCUCAACUUGUUGAGUUAGAAG